This is a small nuclear RNA of Loxodonta africana (African savanna elephant), 104 nucleotides long. NCBI's taxonomy places the organism in Eukaryota, Metazoa, Chordata, Mammalia, Proboscidea, Elephantidae. The record is from Ensembl.
GUGCUCACUUCAGCAGCACAUAUACUAAAAUUGUAAUGAUACAGAGAUUAGCAUGGCCCUUGCACAAGGAUGACACGCAAAUUUGUGACACAUUCCAUAUUUGU